AUACGUAGGUGGCAAGCGUUGUCCGGAUUUAUUGGGCGUAAAGCGAGCGCAGGUCGGUUUUUUAAGUCUGAUGUGAAAGCCUUCGGCUCAACCGAAGAAGUGCAUCGGAAACUGGGAAACUUGAGUGCAGAAGAGGACAGUGGAACUCCAUGUGUAGCGGUGGAAUGCGUAGAUAUAUGGAAGAACACCAGUGGCGAAGGCGGCUGUCUAGUCUGUAACUGACGCUGAGGCUACGAAAGCAGUGGGUAGC
RNAcentral lists this ribosomal RNA (250 nucleotides) under uncultured bacterium. RNAcentral describes it as "partial 16S ribosomal RNA". It matches the Rfam family "Bacterial small subunit ribosomal RNA", at positions 523 to 769 of the family's 1533-position model. The record is from RNAcentral.